This 354-nucleotide unclassified non-coding RNA is filed under the name plant metagenome. RNAcentral describes it as "partial contains 5.8S ribosomal RNA, internal transcribed spacer 2, and large subunit ribosomal RNA". The stretch from base 1 to 105 matches the Rfam family "5.8S ribosomal RNA", at positions 50 to 154 of the family's 154-position model. The record is from RNAcentral.
GAAAUGCGAUACGUAGUGUGAAUUGCAGAAUUCCGUGAACCAUCGAAUCUUUGAACGCAUAUUGCGCUCGAGGCUUCGGCCAAGAGCAUGUCUGCCUCAGCGUCGGGUUAAUAUCACUCUACCUAUACCCUGUGUAUAGCACCGAGUGGACCUGGCUGUUCCGGUGAGCCUCGGUGAACCGGAUCAGCUGAAGAACAGAGGUUAGCACAAGGACCCGUUAAGGGCCGCAAUUGGGUAGGCAGUUUUCUGCUUCUAAUUGUUGGCUUGGGACCAUGAGCUCGACCCUCAAUCCAGGAAAAUAACCUUUAUUUUCUCGACCUGAGCUCAGGCAAGAACACCCGAUGAACUUAAGCA